AGCCACUAGUAUUUAUUGGUGGUUUAACCUGCCCAAUGUACGAACAAUUAUAAUUAAUGGCCGCGGUACUUUGACCGUGCUAAGGUAGCGUAAUCAGUUGGCUUUUAAAUGGAGUCAGGAAUGAAUGGGAUAACCGGGCUUAGCUGUCUCUUAGUUAAUAUAUUGAAUUUACUGUUCAAGUGAAAAAGCUUGAUGUUAAAAAAGGGACGAGAAGACCCUUAGAAUUUUAUUUAAUUAGAAGAAUUAAGAAAAAUUUCUUCUUAUAAUUUUGUUGGGGCGACAGAGAAAUAAUUUUCAACUUUCUUUUUUAAAACUAGCCGAAUAUUUUAAGUGAGAAUAAAUUACCUGAGGGAUAACAGCAUAAUUCUUUAUUAGAGUUUGUGACCUCGAUGUUGGACUAGGAAACUAGUAGAUUAGCCAUUUACUGUGUUGGUUCUGUUCGAACUAUAAUUCCUA
This 456-nucleotide ribosomal RNA is filed under the name Unidentia sandramillenae. RNAcentral describes it as "partial 16S ribosomal RNA". It matches the Rfam family "Bacterial large subunit ribosomal RNA", at positions 1832 to 2598 of the family's 2925-position model. Lineage: Eukaryota; Metazoa; Mollusca; Gastropoda; Nudibranchia; Unidentiidae. The record is from RNAcentral.